GAUGAACGCUGGCGGCGUGCCUAAUACAUGCAAGUCGAGCGAACGGACGAGAAGCUUGCUUCUCUGAUGUUAGCGGCGGACGGGUGAGUAACACGUGGAUAACCUACCUAUAAGACUGGGAUAACUUCGGGAAACCGGAGCUAAUACCGGAUAAUAUUUUGAACCGCAUGGUUCAAAAGUGAAAGACGGUCUUGCUGUCACUUAUAGAUGGAUCCGCGCUGCAUUAGCUAGUUGGUAAGGUAACGGCUUACCAAGGCAACGAUGCAUAGCCGACCUGAGAGGGUGAGCGGCCACACUGGAACUGAGACACGGUCCAGCCUCCUACGGGAGGCAGCAGUAGGGAAUCUUCCGCAAUGGGCGAAAGCCUGACGGAGCAACGCCGCGUGAGUGAUGAAGGUCUUCGGAUCGUAAAACUCUGUUAUUAGGGAAGAACAUAUGUGUAAGUAACUGUGCACAUCUUGACGGUACCUAAUCAGAAGGCCACGGCUAACUACGUG
Molecule: ribosomal RNA, 497 nt
Filed under: uncultured bacterium
Lineage: Bacteria
Description: partial 16S ribosomal RNA
Rfam family: Bacterial small subunit ribosomal RNA
Source: RNAcentral